UAUAUGUAUAUAAGUAUACCAGGUUGACCGAGUUUUGCUCGAAGUGCGUAUACUUUUUAAAGUUUUCAAGGUUUGAAUAUCAAAUACUGGUCAUUUG
Molecule: long non-coding RNA, 97 nt
Organism: Rhagoletis zephyria (snowberry fruit fly)
Lineage: Eukaryota; Metazoa; Arthropoda; Insecta; Diptera; Tephritidae
Source: RefSeq, a predicted model, not a curated record